RNAcentral lists this ribosomal RNA (309 nucleotides) under Triticum aestivum (bread wheat). RNAcentral's name for it is "partial small subunit ribosomal RNA". The record is from RNAcentral. Lineage: Eukaryota; Viridiplantae; Streptophyta; Magnoliopsida; Poales; Poaceae.
AUGUUGUGGCGGAGAACUCUAUCUGUCAUUGUUGUUUUCUUGGCUCUUUCGUAUAGAAACAAAGAUGGUAGAAAAUUUAGAAGUGGAGGAAGAAAGUAUGGUCCACUAGUUGAGAGAGACAUCUACAGGACUAGUGUCCUGGUUAGGCUAAUUGACACAUCCGAUGCAAUAUGUAUCAAGCAACUGCGGAUGUCUCGAGCUGUGUUUUACAAGCUAUGUAUUAGGCUCAGGCAGAAAAAGUUGUUAAUUGAUACACUACAUGAUCGGUCAGCAUCACACAAAUUCAUCCAUUGGAUUGCAGUCCGAUGA